UUAAGCGACUAAGCGUACACGGUGGAUGCCCUGGCAGUCAGAGGCGAUGAAGGACGUGCUAAUCUGCGAUAAGCGUCGGUAAGGUGAUAUGAACCGUUAUAACCGGCGAUUUCCGAAUGGGGAAACCCAGUGUGAUUCGUCACACUAUCAUUAACUGAAUCCAUAGGUUAAUGAGGCGAACCGGGGGAACUGAAACAUCUAAGUACCCCGAGGAAAAGAAAUCAACCGAGAUUCCCCCAGUAGCGGCGAGCGAACGGGGAGCAGCCCAGAGCCUGAAUCAGUGUGUGUGUUAGUGGAAGCGUCUGGAAAGGCGCGCGAUACAGGGUGACAGCCCCGUACACAAAAAUGCACAUGCUGUGAGCUCGAUGAGUAGGGCGGGACACGUGGUAUCCUGUCUGAAUAUGGGGGGACCAUCCUCCAAGGCUAAAUACUCCUGACUGACCGAUAGUGAACCAGUACCGUGAGGGAAAGGCGAAAAGAACCCCGGCGAGGGGAGUGAAAAAGAACCUGAAACCGUGUACGUACAAGCAGUGGGAGCACGCUUAGGCGUGUGACUGCGUACCUUUUGUAUAAUGGGUCAGCGACUUAUAUUCUGUAGCAAGGUUAACCGAAUAGGGGAGCCGAAGGGAAACCGAGUCUUAACUGGGCGUUAAGUUGCAGGGUAUAGACCCGAAACCCGGUGAUCUAGCCAUGGGCAGGUUGAAGGUUGGGUAACACUAACUGGAGGACCGAACCGACUAAUGUUGAAAAAUUAGCGGAUGACUUGUGGCUGGGGGUGAAAGGCCAAUCAAACCGGGAGAUAGCUGGUUCUCCCCGAAAGCUAUUUAGGUAGCGCCUCGUGAAUUCAUCUCCGGGGGUAGAGCACUGUUUCGGCAAGGGGGUCAUCCCGACUUACCAACCCGAUGCAAACUGCGAAUACCGGAGAAUGUUAUCACGGGAGACACACGGCGGGUGCUAACGUCCGUCGUGAAGAGGGAAACAACCCAGACCGCCAGCUAAGGUCCCAAAGUCAUGGUUAAGUGGGAAACGAUGUGGGAAGGCCCAGACAGCCAGGAUGUUGGCUUAGAAGCAGCCAUCAUUUAAAGAAAGCGUAAUAGCUCACUGGUCGAGUCGGCCUGCGCGGAAGAUGUAACGGGGCUAAACCAUGCACCGAAGCUGCGGCAGCGACACUAUGUGUUGUUGGGUAGGGGAGCGUUCUGUAAGCCUGUGAAGGUGUGCUGUGAGGCAUGCUGGAGGUAUCAGAAGUGCGAAUGCUGACAUAAGUAACGAUAAAGCGGGUGAAAAGCCCGCUCGCCGGAAGACCAAGGGUUCCUGUCCAACGUUAAUCGGGGCAGGGUGAGUCGACCCCUAAGGCGAGGCCGAAAGGCGUAGUCGAUGGGAAACAGGUUAAUAUUCCUGUACUUGGUGUUACUGCGAAGGGGGGACGGAGAAGGCUAUGUUGGCCGGGCGACGGUUGUCCCGGUUUAAGCGUGUAGGCUGGUUUUCCAGGCAAAUCCGGAAAAUCAAGGCUGAGGCGUGAUGACGAGGCACUACGGUGCUGAAGCAACAAAUGCCCUGCUUCCAGGAAAAGCCUCUAAGCAUCAGGUAACAUCAAAUCGUACCCCAAACCGACACAGGUGGUCAGGUAGAGAAUACCAAGGCGCUUGAGAGAACUCGGGUGAAGGAACUAGGCAAAAUGGUGCCGUAACUUCGGGAGAAGGCACGCUGAUAUGUAGGUGAAGUCCCUCGCGGAUGGAGCUGAAAUCAGUCGAAGAUACCAGCUGGCUGCAACUGUUUAUUAAAAACACAGCACUGUGCAAACACGAAAGUGGACGUAUACGGUGUGACGCCUGCCCGGUGCCGGAAGGUUAAUUGAUGGGGUUAGCCGCAAGGCGAAGCUCUUGAUCGAAGCCCCGGUAAACGGCGGCCGUAACUAUAACGGUCCUAAGGUAGCGAAAUUCCUUGUCGGGUAAGUUCCGACCUGCACGAAUGGCGUAAUGAUGGCCAGGCUGUCUCCACCCGAGACUCAGUGAAAUUGAACUCGCUGUGAAGAUGCAGUGUACCCGCGGCAAGACGGAAAGACCCCGUGAACCUUUACUAUAGCUUGACACUGAACAUUGAGCCUUGAUGUGUAGGAUAGGUGGGAGGCUUUGAAGUGUGGACGCCAGUCUGCAUGGAGCCGACCUUGAAAUACCACCCUUUAAUGUUUGAUGUUCUAACGUUGACCCGUAAUCCGGGUUGCGGACAGUGUCUGGUGGGUAGUUUGACUGGGGCGGUCUCCUCCUAAAGAGUAACGGAGGAGCACGAAGGUUGGCUAAUCCUGGUCGGACAUCAGGAGGUUAGUGCAAUGGCAUAAGCCAGCUUGACUGCGAGCGUGACGGCGCGAGCAGGUGCGAAAGCAGGUCAUAGUGAUCCGGUGGUUCUGAAUGGAAGGGCCAUCGCUCAACGGAUAAAAGGUACUCCGGGGAUAACAGGCUGAUACCGCCCAAGAGUUCAUAUCGACGGCGGUGUUUGGCACCUCGAUGUCGGCUCAUCACAUCCUGGGGCUGAAGUAGGUCCCAAGGGUAUGGCUGUUCGCCAUUUAAAGUGGUACGCGAGCUGGGUUUAGAACGUCGUGAGACAGUUCGGUCCCUAUCUGCCGUGGGCGCUGGAGAACUGAGGGGGGCUGCUCCUAGUACGAGAGGACCGGAGUGGACGCAUCACUGGUGUUCGGGUUGUCAUGCCAAUGGCACUGCCCGGUAGCUAAAUGCGGAAGAGAUAAGUGCUGAAAGCAUCUAAGCACGAAACUUGCCCCGAGAUGAGUUCUCCCUGACUCCUUGAGAGUCCUGAAGGAACGUUGAAGACGACGACGUUGAUAGGCCGGGUGUGUAAGCGCAGCGAUGCGUUGAGCUAACCGGUACUAAUGAACCGUGAGGCUUAACCUU
RNAcentral lists this ribosomal RNA (2903 nucleotides) under Escherichia coli G58-1. RNAcentral's name for it is "bacterial LSU rRNA". It matches the Rfam family "Bacterial large subunit ribosomal RNA". The record is from RNAcentral. Lineage: Bacteria; Pseudomonadati; Pseudomonadota; Gammaproteobacteria; Enterobacterales; Enterobacteriaceae.